Molecule: ribosomal RNA, 264 nt
Filed under: uncultured bacterium
Lineage: Bacteria
Description: partial 16S ribosomal RNA
Rfam family: Bacterial small subunit ribosomal RNA
Source: RNAcentral
GUCCACGCUGUAAACGAUGAGCACUAGGUGUCGGCCCCUUAGGGGUCGGUGCCGCAGUUAACACAUUAAGUGCUCCACCUGGGGACUACGACCGCAAGGUUGAAACUCAAAGGAAUUGACGGGGGCCCGCACAAGCGGUGGAACAUGUGGUUCAAUUCGACGCUACGCGAAGAACCUUACCAAGGUUUGACAUGCUAGUGGUAGUGAAGCGAAAGCGGAACGACCUCGCAAGAGGAGCUAGCACAGGUGUUGCAUGGCUGUCGU